Molecule: small RNA, 141 nt
Filed under: Bacillus sp. CECT 9360
Lineage: Bacteria; Bacillati; Bacillota; Bacilli; Caryophanales; Bacillaceae
Description: ydaO-yuaA
Rfam family: c-di-AMP riboswitch aptamer (ydaO/yuaA leader)
About the family: This family represents a conserved RNA structure found upstream of the ydaO and yuaA genes in Bacillus subtilis and related genes in other bacteria.
Source: RNAcentral
AUUUGAUAUCGGUCAAAUCUCAAGCAAUUGAGAACGGAGGACCCAAUCUUUUGGGGUUAAUUCUGCAUUCGCAGAAGGGAUGAGAAACUCUUUCGCCAUCCUACCCGUCAGCUAACUUCGUCGACUAAAGCGAAGGAGGUC